UCUAUCUCUGGAAGCAUUCAAAGUGAGACUUCUAUGUCACAUGUGUAUUAGUAGGUGGCAGAGGGAUGGGAGUCUAUCUCUAAGCUCAGUGUUCUUUCCUAUGAACAUCUAAAUGAUUAGUAAUCUAACAUU
Apodemus sylvaticus (European woodmouse) is the source of this 132-nucleotide small nucleolar RNA. RefSeq annotates it as small nucleolar RNA SNORA17. Lineage: Eukaryota; Metazoa; Chordata; Mammalia; Rodentia; Muridae. The record is from RefSeq and is a predicted model, not a curated record. The transcript has a single exon.